This 686-nucleotide long non-coding RNA is filed under the name Ornithorhynchus anatinus (platypus). RNAcentral's name for it is "lncRNA (ENSOANG00000048382.1)". The record is from RNAcentral. Lineage: Eukaryota; Metazoa; Chordata; Mammalia; Monotremata; Ornithorhynchidae.
CUCAGAAUUGCCCCAUCAGUUUGCCUUCCGCACUUUUACUGCCUGACUUUUUUCUUCCAGCUCUGCCUAGUAAGAGAAAGUGCUUCCCUCCUUCCAAGACCAAGACCUGGUCUUUGGAAGAACGAACCCAACUGGUGUCUCCACUGGACCACUGUAAGAAAUCACCCAGGCUGGGUGUGGACAACAGGCCAUACCCUCCCCAGAUUGAUCAAGCAAGGGCUAGGACUGCAUGGAUGGUGGCUGGAAGAUAGGAAGCUUUCUGGACCCUCCGCGAUCGACUCUUUCACAUCCUCCCUGAUGUCCCAGGAGCUUACAGUGGGCCUGGGAGAGAUAGAAUGUGAAAUCACAGCCUUCUGGGACACCUGCUCUGCUUUGCCAUUCCUUUUUGGAGAAAGGGGUCUCUUGGGCAAGGAAUCCUCCUCCCUCCUCAUUCCAUGCCCCUUCUCUCUUAGCAGCAGCCCCCCGUCAAAAGGUCAUGAGAAGCAGUCAGAAGGACCUGUAUUCUCAUUUUAGCCCAGCCACUUGUCUGCUGUAUGACUUUGGGCAAACCACUUAAUAAUAAUUAAUAAUUAUGGACUUUAUUAAGAGUUUACUAUAUGCCAAACAUUGUUUUAUGAGCUGGGGUAGUUACAAGUUUAUCAGAUUGGACAGUUCCUGUCCCACAUGAGGCUCACACUCUUAAUCCC